RNAcentral lists this long non-coding RNA (2042 nucleotides) under Salmo salar (Atlantic salmon). RNAcentral's name for it is "lncRNA (ENSSSAG00000114876.1)". The record is from RNAcentral. Lineage: Eukaryota; Metazoa; Chordata; Actinopteri; Salmoniformes; Salmonidae.
AAUGAGGUAUUGCCCACUGAAGCGCCCCGGCACACUUCUUUUUUUUUUUACUUGGCACUUUUGAAGUGUGUGACUUUUUUCACUAAACACCUGGAAGUUGUUCUGGGAAGUGUGUGUAUGUGUAUUGGGGAUGCACUGUGAGAUAGGUUGGGUGGAGGGGAUGACACACAUUGAGCUGAUUGGAGUGUUUGUGUCCCUUGGCUUGAUUAAAGUCAAGGUGGAUUGGACGGCUGUUCCAUUGCAAUAACUUAUACUUAGCAUCUCCUUCAUUCCUCUUGAUUUAGUCUCCCUUCACUUUUUACAGGUAGAAAGGCACCUUCUACCUGUCACUGUUUUAGUGAGAGAAUAACAUUCAGUCAACAGGCCCUGCGCUAGACUAGCGGCCUGUCCAGGAGGUGUACUUGUACAUCAAGCUGCCUCCGUGCUUCAGACACAGGAGAAUCAGGAGAUAGGCUACUUAAAGUCAACAGUGUAGCUGUACUCAAAGCCACAUCGUAUACUGUACACACAACUCUGUCAGUACUGUAUAGUCUAAACCAGAGUCAAACUACGGUGAUAAGCAACGCAAGCAAGCGUCAAACAAGCUAGCGUAAUGAAUGUAUGGUGAAAUCUGAAGGGAAAUGUAAUGAUAAAUCAGUAGGUAUCGUACAUUUCUGUGUGUUGACUACGAGGCCCUGUCUCUCUAAUGUCAUUAUCGUGUUGUCUGUUCUGGUGUCAUUUGCAGUGGGAGCCACCAACACAUAUGAGGGAUCCUUUGAAGCCAUUUUCAUAGGUGCUCUUAUCCAGAGAAACUUCUAGAAGUGCUUCGCUCAAGGGCAGAAGUAAUUUUUCCUCUGUUGGGGGUGCUGGUGCUGGUCGGGGCGCUGGUACUGUGCUACAUCGCCAAGCGUAAGGGCAAUUACCACACCUACGAGGCCGAGUGUGGUGAUUCUGUCGACACGUAUGGCAGUGCCUCUCAAAUUGAACAGGUUCAACUAGAGAUUUUGAACGAGGAAGAAUAGAAAGAAGAAUACUUCAUUUGAAACAGGACUUUUUCCGAUUCUAAACCGGGGCCAGUUGUCAACUCAAGAUGCCAAAUAUUUUCUACGGAAUUGGAAAAGCCUAUGAUGGUCAUCUAAUUUCAAGGCAACAUUUAUAUGGGGCAUACAACCAUCUCAGCUCUGCAGAUUUUGCCACGAAGAUAGAAUCAUUAGAUCACUUAUUUUUGUAUUGCGCAUAUAUACACUAUACUCUGUAUAUACAAAAUUAUGUGGACACCCAUUCAAAUUAGUGGAUUUAGCUAUUUCAGCCACAUUACAGCCUUAUUUCCCUCAUUAAUCAAUAUACAGAAGCACUUUUAUAAACAAUUAAUAUUCAUUACAUGUGACUAACUUCAAGCUUACAAUUAUAGUACAAUAGUUAAACCAAUAUCAGAUUGUUGAGAUUUCGAAAAGACGUAAAAGCUAGAGAAAUUAACAAUCCUAUAAUAACAAUAAUAACCCUUUUAUUUUCCUUUCUUAAAAUGUUUAUAUUCAAAAGAUAGUACCUUGUUUGAAUGUCUAUUAUGAGGAUGUUGAGCGGGCUUAAUGUAUAAUAAUGUAUAGCAUUUCUGAAUGUAAUAUCUGUUUUCUAUUUUUUGACGUCCAAUAGUAAUCUGAGCUUGUAAAAUUAAAUCAAGGCAUAGGCAUCUUUCCUAACGCCAAACUGGAUGUUUGUUUUUUUGGCCUCAAGGUACCAAUAACUGAGAAAAGGGAAAUGCUACGGCAAGGACCAUAAGAACACAAAAAAUACUUUCAUGAAACCUGACAGACAUUUCACCUAUGACAAUACUGGAAACAAAUCAGUCAAAAAUGUAAAUUCCCCUUCUUCUUAUGCAAGUCUCUGUAACUAAUAUAUUACCAUAUGAUUAAAGAGAAACGACCUUGUUUUGCCUGAUGAAAACAGUGUCUAAUUAGCAAGAAAACACUCGUUCCAGAGAGGAAGGACUUUUUGUAUCAACAAGGCAACAACAGGGAAGUUUCAAAAGGAAACUGAAGACAGCUGAAUCACAAGGGGGUUUGUUC